UGCUAUAUAAUACAUAUGGCGGCCGCAGCAGAGUAACUUUAAAAUAUAUAGUUAUUAUUGCCAGCCACCCAAGCAAAUGAAUCCAGAUAGUAGUGGUAGUAGUAGUAGUAGUAGUAGUACCUAUACCUCUGUUUUGUCAUCUUCACAGAGCAGGGUAUGUAUGCAUUUUGUAUGUAUGUAUGAACUAGGUGAUGAUAACAACCUCAUCUAUUAUCAAGCGGAGACCAUGCACAGGGCUGCUCGGAGAUGUGCACACGUACAUAUGUAUAUAUGUGGUGCAGACACGUAUGCUGUACCUUAUGUACGUUGAUGAUACGGCACACGUGCACACUCUGUCGUACACAAGGAUAUUAUAUACCUAGAGAACAUACAUAUGUGGAGGGAGGGACAGGCACAGGGAGACGAUGGCGAUGGGGACAGCAGAUACAGAUACAGACGGCGAGACUGAGCGGAUGACUGUCGAGGGAGACUGUGGGAGAGUUUUUAUUAAAUUCUUAGACUGUGGGUGUGUGUAUGUAUGUAUGUAUGUAUGUAUGUAUGUAUAUCCGCGCACUGCACUUGCGAUGUAUGUUGUUGGUCUGUCUGUUGGGUUGUUGUUGUACAUGUCGUACUGUACGUGAUACUACUUUAUAAUUAGUAGUAGUACACAUACGCAGCAGCAUAUGAUGGCUCCGCGGGUAUGUGGAUAUUAUGGGACACGCGCAUGCACGACGGUGUGGCGAUGAUGCACCCACGUAGUAGUUGUACAUAUUGUUGUUGUUGUUGUUGUUGUUGUUGUUGUGUAUGCUCCCUUUUCCCUUCUCGUCGGACACACGAUCUCUCUCUAUAUGCAUAUCUACACCAACACAAUCAAACAAUGCUGCUGUAUCUACUUGGCACGAUUUGGCACAUAUGUAAAGUAUAAUAAUAAUAACCCUAACGGUAUAUAUACCAACAACAAUCUCGCCG
Molecule: long non-coding RNA, 948 nt
Filed under: Volvox carteri
Lineage: Eukaryota; Viridiplantae; Chlorophyta; Chlorophyceae; Chlamydomonadales; Volvocaceae
Description: long non-coding RNA (VCAR_LNC002237)
Source: RNAcentral